Molecule: ribosomal RNA, 498 nt
Filed under: uncultured bacterium
Lineage: Bacteria
Description: bacterial SSU rRNA
Rfam family: Bacterial small subunit ribosomal RNA
Source: RNAcentral
GAUGAACGCUAGCGGCAGGCUUAACACAUGCAAGUCGAGGGGCAGCGCGAUGUAGCAAUACAUUGGCGGCGACCGGCGCACGGGUGCGUAACACGUAUGGAACUUACCCUUUACUGGGAGAUAGCCCGGAGAAAUCCGGAUUAAUAUCCCAUAAUAAACGAAGUGGCAUCACUUUGUUUUGAAAGCUCCGGCGGUAAAGGAUGGCCAUGCGCACGAUUAGCUAGUAGGUGAGGUAACGGCUCACCUAGGCUACGAUCGUUAGGGGCCUGAGAGGGUUAUCCCCCACACUGGUACUGAGACACGGACCAGACUCCUACGGGAGGCAGCAGUGAGGAAUAUUGCGCAAUGGAGGCAACUCUGACGCAGCCAUGCCGCGUGCAGGAAGAAGGCGCUACGCGUUGUAAACUGCUUUUAACCGGGAAGAAACCCUCCGACGUGUCGGAGGUUGACGGUACCGGAGGAAUAAGCACCGGCUAACUUCGUGCCAGCAGCCGCGGU